AUGAAUAUUGAGGCUCGUGGCAGAUAUCGUUAUUUUCUCACCUUCAUAGAUGACUUAAGCAGAUAUGGGUAUAUGUACUUAAUGAAACAUAAGUCUGAAACAUUUGAAAAGUUCAAAGAAUUUCAGAGUGAAGUUGAAAACCAUCGUAACAAGAAAAUAAAGUUUCUACGAUCUGAUCGUGGAGGAGAAUAUUUGAGUUACGAGUUUGGUGUACAUUUGAAACAAUGCGGAAUAAUUUCGCAACUCACGCCACCCGGAACACCAUAG
Molecule: ribosomal RNA, 267 nt
Filed under: Triticum aestivum (bread wheat)
Lineage: Eukaryota; Viridiplantae; Streptophyta; Magnoliopsida; Poales; Poaceae
Description: partial small subunit ribosomal RNA
Source: RNAcentral